CUUCAGGGUAUUUAAAAUUCCUAAGUAUAUUUAGUGUAGUUUAUGUGAUCUGUGCAGUGUCUUAUUGUUGUUAUAUAAGUUCAUUGAACCUGACAUUCGUUCACAUUUAUUCAUUUAUUCAAGGCUUUAGUUGUCUUAGUGUGGUAAAUCCUCAUCAUGUAGAAGAACAAUUGGAACUGGUCCCGGUGAUGAAGCUGGACCUGCAGUACAUCCACCUGAAGUUCCCGGGGAUGCUGAUCAUCUCCUCUGCCGUCCACAGGCGCCAAUGAAGGACUGUUAAAUGAAUAGAGUAAAAUUACAGGAGCAUGCUCAUUAGAAAACAGUCACAAAUACAGCAGUUUCACCUUCAGAUUUUGUGCACUGAUGCUGCGUCUGGCGCAUGGCUGUACUCCAGAUCUUAUAUUACAUCUAAGGCUUCUCUCCGUCUUUGCGAUGGAUGUAUUUUAAGACCAAUCAGAAGCGGUUGCUAGGCGGACCAGAAUCGGCCACCAAUCAGCGUUUUUCUGCCAACGUUAGCUGACGUAUGUCGUCAUUGGCCUCGACGCGUCUCCUCAUUGGUCACGAUCUUCUGGGAGGAGCGCAGAGAGGCGGAGAAACAAACAGAUUUAAACCAAGUUUGAGCGGUUGCUUCGGUUUGUCAGUACUGUGAAAAAACUGUCCUUGCUAAAGAAGCCUGGAUGAUGGAACAAACUCUGGAGCUGCGUUUCUGUCGUUAAUGAAGAGGUCUGGAUGCCAAAACAAACUCUGGAGCUGCUUUCUUGUCGUUAAUGAAGAAGUCUGGAUGCCAAAACAAACUCUGGAGCUGCUUUCUUGACAAACACGAGUGAGACUGGACGCUGAGCACACCUGUGGCGCGAAGGUUUACUCUUUGAGCUGCUGCAGCCUGGACAGAACAAAUCAAACAGGUGCCACCACUUCAUCCUCGAUCGUGGGAUCGAGUGUCUUCGUACACUUCUUCUUUGAAACCAGGACUGAGGCCUCCAGGAUUCAGACUUCAACCAUUAGAGACACAUGUGAAGACAUUUCCAGAAGGUCUUCAGCUGUGGUUGUCUUCUUCUCCUGCAGAGACAGGAGCAUGUGUUAAUCACAGAAACUGAUCAAUUAAUCUAUUUUUCUUUUCCUUAACUGUCUUCAUUUUUGAUACCUAAUUAAAAUGAUUUAAACUAAACUUUUUAUGACUCUGUCAAUAUCACACAUUUUGGUGUGUUUUUCUAGUUAUUACAGUCACAGUAAUGUAUAGUAACAUGUUAUGUCAUUUUUGAUACCUUACUACAGUGACAGUUUUUUUU
Lates calcarifer (barramundi perch) is the source of this 1289-nucleotide long non-coding RNA. RefSeq lists it as uncharacterized. The record is from RefSeq and is a predicted model, not a curated record. NCBI's taxonomy places the organism in Eukaryota, Metazoa, Chordata, Actinopteri, Centropomidae. The transcript is spliced from 5 exons.